UACGGAGGGUGCGAGCGUUGUCCGGAAUCACUGGGCGUAAAGGGCGCGUAGGCGGUCUGCUAAGCGUGCGGUGAAAGCCUGGGGCUCAACCCCAGGUCUGCCGUGCGAACUGGUGGACUUGAGCACUGUAGAGGCAGGUGGAAUUCCGGGAGUAGCGGUGGAAUGCGUAGAGAUCCGGAAGAACACCGGUGGCGAAGGCGGCCUGCUGGGCAGUAGCUGACGCUGAGGCGCGACAGCGUGGGGAGCAAACAGG
RNAcentral lists this ribosomal RNA (253 nucleotides) under uncultured bacterium. RNAcentral describes it as "partial 16S ribosomal RNA". It matches the Rfam family "Bacterial small subunit ribosomal RNA", at positions 524 to 776 of the family's 1533-position model. The record is from RNAcentral.